Molecule: long non-coding RNA, 901 nt
Organism: Rhea pennata
Lineage: Eukaryota; Metazoa; Chordata; Aves; Rheiformes; Rheidae
Exons: 4
Source: RefSeq, a predicted model, not a curated record
CCCCGCAGCGGGGUGCAACCGCCCCCCGCUGCUCCUGGGGCUUUUCGCCCCCUGCCUGCGCUCCUCACCGGAGCAACUCCAUAGUAAAGGAAAUCAGUGGUUCAUCGCUCUUGCGGAAAGCAGCAGGCGUAAAGAGCCGGAGAGUGUUGCAGUUGACAGAAAACACAGGCUCAGGGAAGUAGAGAGGUGUUUCCAGUGCAUUCCUUUCCCUCCUGGUGUAGUCCAUAGGUCCAUGGAGAGCCAUCAAGACCAGCAGAAGCUCCUGUAAGUCUCUGUGGUUUCCCUGAAGUGCAUCGGCUAUGAGGCUUUUUGCCAGCUGCUUUAUGCAUUCAUAACUAGAGUGUGACUUCAGUGAGGGUGAUGUAUAGAGACACUAAGAUGACUCAGGCAUCUCCUGCCUAUCUCCUCUCUCUUUUGCCUUCUGUGGAAAAGGGAGCAAGACACAUCCACAUCUCAGUGAGUUAGAACCUCAUCUUGUCUCUGAUGACUCCCACUUCAAGGUCCUGACUGAAGUUAUAAAGAACUCUUCAUUUUGCAUUUUUUUCCUAGGGGAAAGGGGAUAAUUUACAUUCUUUUAUAAUUCUUGAUUACCCAUGGCUGUUAGCUUUCUAAAACAGGUUUGCAUGGUGCCACCCUUAUGAUUUGUAUUAGAAUUCCAGUAUGAUAUGAUGGAAAACUUGGCUUGUGUUUUAGAGAAGUAAUCACAUGAUAUCAUUUAAUUUUUUUUUGAUAUUCAUCCUCACUACUAGAGACAAGAAAAUGUGCAGCCACUGAGAUAGUGUAAAGCUAAUGAAUCUGGUAGAGGGAGGCUCUGUCUGUGUUCCAUGCUAAGCAGAAUCCUGAUCACAGGAUAGCUGGGGAGGCUAGCCCCAUGUGCUGUGUCAUUUGUAUAUGUUGAUUC